Molecule: long non-coding RNA, 353 nt
Filed under: Sciurus vulgaris (Eurasian red squirrel)
Lineage: Eukaryota; Metazoa; Chordata; Mammalia; Rodentia; Sciuridae
Description: lncRNA (ENSSVLG00005012461.1)
Source: RNAcentral
AUGUGGGAACAGCACUGGCCCAGAAUUUUGGGGGUGGGCCUCACAGGGUCUCUUCCCCAGGCUGAAAGGCCCCAACACCCUCUGAGGAGCAGUUUGGAGGAGGGGCGCCGAGGCUGGGGCAAAUCUGCCUUAAUGUUUCAGAACGGCGAGGUGAUGGGACGCGGCAGAGAGGGCCUCCUGGUCAGGAUUCCUCCCAGGUGCUGCGGAUGGAGGCGUGGGGUAGCCUUGGAACCCCGUAGACUAUUUUCGAAUCCCAGCUCUGCCAGUAAAUAGCCUGUGACUUUGAGUAAGUGUUUUUAACCACCUUAAAGACGUUUCCUCUUCUGUAAAAUGGAAACACAAACUGUAGUGCC